UACGUAGGGUGCAAGCGUUAAUCGGAAUUACUGGGCGUAAAGCGGGCGCAGGCGGUUUUGUAAGUCUGUCGUGAAAGCCCCGGGCUCAACCUGGGAAUUGCGAUGGAGACUGCAAGGCUUGAAUCUGGCAGAGGGGGGUAGAAUUCCACGUGUAGCAGUGAAAUGCGUAGAGAUGUGGAGGAACACCGAUGGCGAAGGCAGCCCCCUGGGUCAAGAUUGACGCUAAUGCACGAAAGCGUGGGGAGCAAACAGG
RNAcentral lists this ribosomal RNA (253 nucleotides) under uncultured bacterium. RNAcentral describes it as "partial 16S ribosomal RNA". It matches the Rfam family "Bacterial small subunit ribosomal RNA", at positions 524 to 776 of the family's 1533-position model. The record is from RNAcentral.